This is a non-coding RNA of Pelobates cultripes (western spadefoot toad), 210 nucleotides long. NCBI's taxonomy places the organism in Eukaryota, Metazoa, Chordata, Amphibia, Anura, Pelobatidae. The record is from the annotation of a GenBank genome assembly.
GGAGGCUGCACUCACCUGAACAUGCAUAAAUGGGGUGCUGCUGGGGGACAAAUUAUACAUUUGCAUACGCUUACCCAGAAUCCCUUGCAGUAGUGAGAGCACUGUUAAAGUGAGAUUUCUGUGGGAAAAGCAAGUCUUAUGGCGUGACUGGUGUGUGUAUUUGUGUUUAGCAAUGUAUUAACUUUCCACAAUGUAAUGUAACUAAACACC